AUUGCACGCUGGCGGCAGGCCUAACACAUGCAAGUCGAACGAGUGGCGUACGGGUGUGUAAUGUCUGGGACACUGCCUUAUUGAGGGGUAUAACUACUGGAAACUGUAGCUAAUACCGCAUACCAUCAGAUGUGCCCAUAUGGGAUGAGCUAGUUGGUGGGGUAACGGCUCACCAAGGCGACGAUCCCUAGCUGGUCUGAGAGGAUGACCAGCCACACUGGAACGGAGACACGGUCCAGACUCCUACGGGAGGCAGCAGUGGGGAAUAUUGCACAAUGGGCGCAAGCCUGAUGCAGCCAUGCCGCGUGUAUGAAGAAGGCCUUCGGGUUGUAAAGUACUUUCAGCGGGGAGGCGUUACCCGCAGAAGAAGCACCGGCUAACUCCGUGCCAGCAGCCGCGGUAAUUC
This 406-nucleotide ribosomal RNA is filed under the name uncultured bacterium. RNAcentral describes it as "partial 16S ribosomal RNA". It matches the Rfam family "Bacterial small subunit ribosomal RNA", at positions 30 to 526 of the family's 1533-position model. The record is from RNAcentral.